This 295-nucleotide ribosomal RNA is filed under the name uncultured bacterium. RNAcentral's name for it is "partial 16S ribosomal RNA". It matches the Rfam family "Bacterial small subunit ribosomal RNA", at positions 794 to 1094 of the family's 1533-position model. The record is from RNAcentral.
UCCACGCCGUAAACGAUGAAUACUCGUUGUCUGCGAUAUACUGUAGGCGACUGAGCGAAAGCAUUAAGUAUUCCACCUGGGGAGUACGUUCGCAAGAAUGAAACUCAAAGGAAUUGACGGGGGCCCGCACAAGCGGAGGAACAUGUGGUUUAAUUCGAUGAUACGCGAGGAACCUUACCCGGGUUUAAAUGCAGGACGUAAGACCGAGAAAUCGGUCCCCCUUCGGGCGGACUGCAAGGUGCUGCAUGGCUGUCGUCAGCUCGUGCCGUGAGGUGUCGGGUUAAGUCCCAUAACG